GUCCACGCCCUAAACGAUGUCAACUGGUUGUUGGACGGCUUGCUGUUCAGUAACGAAGCUAACGCGUGAAGUUGACCGCCUUGGGAGUACGGCCGCAAUGUUGAAACUCAAAGGAAUUUACGGGGACCCGCACAAGCGGUGGAUGAUGUGGUUUAAUUCGAUGCAACGCGAAAACCUUACCUACCCUUGACAUGUCAAGAAUCUUGCAGAGAUGUGAGAGUGCUCGAAAGAGAACUUGAACACAGGUGCUGCAUGGCCGUCGU
RNAcentral lists this ribosomal RNA (263 nucleotides) under uncultured bacterium. RNAcentral describes it as "partial 16S ribosomal RNA". It matches the Rfam family "Bacterial small subunit ribosomal RNA", at positions 793 to 1055 of the family's 1533-position model. The record is from RNAcentral.